This 539-nucleotide ribosomal RNA is filed under the name uncultured bacterium. RNAcentral describes it as "bacterial SSU rRNA". It matches the Rfam family "Bacterial small subunit ribosomal RNA", at positions 361 to 909 of the family's 1533-position model. The record is from RNAcentral.
AUCUUCGGCAAUGGGCGCAAGCCUGACCGAGCGACGCCGCGUGUGCGAUGAAGGCCCUUCGGGUUGUAAAGCACUGUCGAGAGGAAGCAAGCCGCAAGGUUGAGCGACCUCUGGAGGAAGCACGGGCUAAGUUCGUGCCAGCAGCCGCGGUAAGACGAACCGUGCGAACGUUGUUCGGAAUCACUGGGCUUAAAGGGCGCGUAGGCGGGAUGGCAAGUCGGAGGUGAAAGCCCCCAGCUUAACUGAGGAAGUGCCCUCGAUACUGCCGUUCUCGAGAGAGGUAGGGGCGUGUGGAACUUCCGGUGGAGCGGUGAAAUGCGUAGAUAUCGGAAGGAACGCCGGUGGCGAAAGCGAUGCGCUGGACCUUUUCUGACGCUGAGGCGCGAAAGCCAGGGUAGCGAACGGGAUUAGAUACCCCGGUAGUCCUGGCCCUAAACGAUGGGUACUGGGUUGCGGGUCAGACAUGGACUCGCAGCCGAAGCAAAAGUGGUAAGUACCCCGCCUGGGGAGUAUGGUCGCAAGGCUGAAACUCAAAGGAA